GCUGAGAAAUUAAUUAUGUAUAUUUCUACUUUUUUCCUAGGCUAGGGCCCAUGUAGUGUGCGGGGGGUGACCAGAAUCUCAGUACCAUGUGACUAACCCCUCCCCUUCCCCUCCUCUCCUCUGUGUCCUUUUGUCCUUGCUUUCCCCCCCCCCUCUCAGCGUCACUGUGUUGACCACUUCUAUAACAAAUUUACCCAGUGAAUAAACGUAAUUUCUCCUGCUUGGCCAGGUUAUAGAGGCGAAUUUUUCACCUAAUCCCAGAGAAUGGGGAGCCCUUAAUACGAUAAAAUUAAUUCUAUAAUGGUAAGGUCUUAAACCAGCUCAAACAAAUCCCAGAUAAUUACGCCGCGCCAAUGAGGUUGACGAAUCUGAUAAGUCUUCUUUGCUUCGCUGCCUUGUUACCCCUGUUGCUACGCAAGCCGGGAAGAGAUACCAGACUUUGACUAAUUCCCCAAUUGAUUUCAAAAGUCCAUUGAAUUAAACUUCUUAAAGUAACAACUAUAAAGUAAACAGUAACUUAAUUAUUCAUAUUUUUCAUCCCUGAACUCACAACCUAGUCGCCCCCCCCCCCACUAAAAACAAAAUUAUAACUUAAUAAAUUUCCCCAUUGGAAACCUUUAUCCUUAGUUUCCCGCCGAUUUCCUCACAAGCAAAGCCAGUCUCUCUCGGAUUCUCCUCAGGUGAGCAUGCAGUCUGAUAGUCUCCCCCUCCAUUCCUGUAAUAUUAAGUGUUUAUUUAACAAUAAUUUUACUAAAGCCAGUCUCUCUCGGAUUCUCCUCAGAUAUUCCUGUUGAUAAACUGUUUUCUGAGUGGAUAGAUAUUCGCAUUUUUUCGUUCUUCUUUUGUUGGUUUUCUCCACGGGACUAGUGAAACCACCUGGUUCGAGAUCACCGUGUGAGACUGUCCUCAGGUAUAUACAUACUUUUUGGAUAUAUAUUUGUUAUUUAUUUAUUUAUUCUCUGGUCUCCCCCGCAAUUCAGUAGUCGCGAAAAUAUCUCCAUCGUAGUUUUUAUGUAAUUGAAGAAUACGCUACCAUUUAUUUUGUAUUUCUGAAUUAUGUAACUGAAGAGUAAGCUAUCAUUUAUUUUUGUAUUUCUGAAUUAUGUAACUGAAGAGUACGCUACCAUUUAUUUUGUAUUUCUGAAUUGCUUUCUUUUUAUUAUUAUUAUUUCGGAUUAUUCCAUUAUUUAUUAAAAAUCAUAAAAGUGUCAGUACUUGUAUUUCUUUUAAUCCAGUGAUAGGAUUUGUAAUUAUCGUCUGCCACAAGGGAACAUCACACUCCUUAGAGGGCACUAAAACCACACUCAACUGUCCUCACAAUGCUUUCAUCAUGGCUAUUGAAACCCUUAAGAACAAGGAGACAAUGAUUCACCGACACUGAGGCCUUAACCUUGGUGGAGGUGUAGGAUUGGGGUGCUGACAGCAAAACUCGCACCACAAAUGGGAGUCAUGCGACAUUGUUUACAAACUUUGAUAAAGUGACCCCUUCUGCCCUUAGUGUAGGGCUAUUCCUCUGAGACUAUGGACCACUUCCUGCUCCUCUGCCAGUGUUUCUACUCCCAUCACACUGCACUUCGCUACCCACUCUCCGCCCUGCUGAGCAUCACAUCUCUUAGCCUUCCCAGACUCACCCGUCUUCCCUUCACAGCAAUUGCCUAUCCUGAGGUCCAGAGGAAAUUUAAGGACCUCCGACCCAUGUCAAGAGCAAGGCUGCUACAGAACAGUGUCACACUGCAGGCACUGGUGGGGGACCUCCAGAUGAGACAACAUGCACUGCUGUGGAGUUGGGCAUGCUGCAGAUGUUGUCUCUCACAGCAUUUGCAGGACUGCCAUACCCUGAAAGUGAUGGAGCCACACUGCUGUCAGGGCCUCUAGAAGGAACAUAGCCUUCCACCAGCAGUGGUGUUGGAGAUAUCCAACCCUCUUCUGCUGGUGUUGCUGGGUCUGCAGGGGCCUCUGGAUUUGACAAUGCUUUGUCAUCUGCACUGGAUGAGAGCAUCUUUGUUCAAAUUAUCCAUGUUACAGAUGACUACAUGCAAUGGUGGCCACUCAGACUUGGAAGUUCUCUCUCAAGCGCUAGAAACCCAACAGCAGAUUCGUCUGAGCAUGGAUGAGCUGGUGACGGUGCUGUACAAAACAUGUCCCAGACACUUCAACAAUCUGAAGUGCAGAGGAACAUUCUGCAUUCAUUGCAGCAGCUGGUAACACUUGCUGAGCACUUCAUUAAUGUCAAUACUAGCCAGCAAUAAUUUUUAGAAUUCUAAUGUUUCCCUUUCAUAACUUUACCUUUAUUAAGUUACUAAGUUAUAAGACUAAGUUAUGAAAUUAAGUUACAUUAAGUUAUAUUUCUUUUCUGUAGCUUUAAGUUGUAGCAAUUCUAUCAUUUAUCUAGAGCAGCAUGUUAAUGUUAGUACAAUAUAAUACCAAAGUAUUUCUUCACUGUGAUACCUACAAUUCUUUUAUGUUACCUAAAGUACAAAAAUAAGAUUAGUGUUUUGUGGUGACUUGCUGGUGGGCAUUUCUACAAAUAUAUUUAUUUACUUUUUUUUCUUUUUACAGGACCUGAACCAUACUCAUGCUAUAUUUUUUUCUUUUUCUUGCAAAGACUUUGGUAAUUUGUAAUCAUUUAUUUUUUUUUAAAUAUAUCUACAGCAAUUUUUGUA
This is an RNA transcript of Scylla paramamosain (green mud crab), 2663 nucleotides long. RefSeq lists it as uncharacterized. NCBI's taxonomy places the organism in Eukaryota, Metazoa, Arthropoda, Malacostraca, Decapoda, Portunidae. The record is from RefSeq and is a predicted model, not a curated record. The transcript has 4 exons.